Sinocyclocheilus grahami is the source of this 136-nucleotide long non-coding RNA. RefSeq lists it as uncharacterized. Lineage: Eukaryota; Metazoa; Chordata; Actinopteri; Cypriniformes; Cyprinidae. The transcript is spliced from 3 exons. The record is from RefSeq and is a predicted model, not a curated record.
AUUCCACAUCAGACAGUCCUGAAACGACGCAGCUGACACUGUGGGAAGGUGUACUCUCAAUCUGAGGUGGAACUGGUCUGUGCAAUCCAGAACUUUUAUUUUUAUAGCUUUUUGAAUGUAAACAAAACAGCAUAUA